AGGUCCUGGAGGUGUGGCUGAGCUACCUGCAGCCAUGGUGGUAUGCAGCUGACAAGCAGGCUGCCAGCAGCAACUCCCAGCCCCAGUGUGUCUGAGAAAUGUCUCCUGAGCUGUCAUCCAUAACACUGCACAGUUAAGGCUGAGACCGGCUGGACCCUGCCUGCCCUGCAGCCACCAGGCACCAGGCACUGGGUGGAAGACCGCAGUUCGAGCAGCUGUUCCCGGAGCCGGAGCUCGUCAUCCCCCUACCGCCAGCACCGACUCUUCACAGCCUGCACAUUCGCCAGCAGCAUCCUGUCAUAGUGGCCACCAGUGGUCACUGAUGCCUCCUUCAAUGUGAAGAGUCACAUCUAUGGCCUGGAGGGCCAGGACUGCAAGUACACCCGAUGUUCGGGCCCGAGGCUUACACCCUGGUCCUGCACCUUACUCAGCUCAUCACGCAGGCCAAGCACACGGCCAGGUCCAUCUCGGACCAGUGUGUGGAGACUCCAGCUGGCCACUCCUUCCUGUUGUGGCUGGGCUUUGGCCCCACAGACACCAACGGCUCCUAUUCAGCCAUGACCUGGGCGAGAUGGGGCAGGACAGCGUCCAGAAGAUGGACGAGUGCCUGGAGGAGGCCCUGGCGUACCUGCGCCAGAUAUUCCGACUCAGUGAAGUGCAGCUCACGCAGAGUCUCUCACACUUGCCUUGGACACCAUCCAGGAUGAGAAUGGAAAGAAGCAGCUCCGGACUGCAUCGCGGGUGAGGACAGACUCAUCCCCACGCCCCUGGGCCAGUACCAGGUGAG
This 787-nucleotide long non-coding RNA is filed under the name Homo sapiens (human). RNAcentral's name for it is "non-protein coding lnc-PI4KA-3:5". Lineage: Eukaryota; Metazoa; Chordata; Mammalia; Primates; Hominidae. The record is from RNAcentral.